CGCGAACGCUGGCGGCGCGCCUAACACAUGCAAGUCGCGGGGCAGCAGGCCCUCCUUCGGGAGGGUGCUGGCGACCGGCAAACGGGUGAGUAACGCGUGGGUAACCUACCCUCAGGAGGGGGAUAACCCCGGGAAACCGGGGCUAAUACCCCAUAAUGCCCUGUAUCACUAAGGUGCAGGGUGAAAGGGGGCCUCUGCUUGCAAGCUCCCGCCUGAGGAUGGGCCCGCGUCCCAUCAGGUAGUUGGUGGGGUAACGGCCUACCAAGCCUGUGACGGGUAGCCGGCCUGAGAGGGUAGCCGGCCACAGCGGGACUGAGACACGGCCCGCACCCCUACGGGGGGCAGCAGUGGGGAAUCGUGGGCAAUGGGCGAAAGCCUGACCCCGCGACGCCGCGUGCGGGAUGAAGCCCUUCGGGGUGUAAACCGCUGUCAGGAGGGACGAUGGGACCGUGGGCUAAUACCUCACGGUCCUGACGGUACCCCCAGAGGAAGGGACGGCUAACUACGUGCCAGCAGCCGCGGUAAUACGUA
RNAcentral lists this ribosomal RNA (531 nucleotides) under uncultured Hydrogenivirga sp. RNAcentral describes it as "bacterial SSU rRNA". It matches the Rfam family "Bacterial small subunit ribosomal RNA", at positions 30 to 529 of the family's 1533-position model. Lineage: Bacteria; Pseudomonadati; Aquificota; Aquificia; Aquificales; Aquificaceae. The record is from RNAcentral.